Molecule: ribosomal RNA, 254 nt
Filed under: uncultured bacterium
Lineage: Bacteria
Description: partial 16S ribosomal RNA
Rfam family: Bacterial small subunit ribosomal RNA
Source: RNAcentral
UACGUAGGGGGCGAGCGUUGUCCGGAUUCAUUGGGCGUAAAGAGCUCGUAGGCGGCUUAGCAAGUCGGGUGUAAAACCUCCAGGCUUAACCUGGAGAGGCCACCCGAUACUGCUAUGGCUAGAGUCCGGUAGGGGACCACGGAAUUCCUGGUGUAGCGGUGAAAUGCGCAGAUAUCAGGAAGAACACCCGUGGCGAAGGCGGCUCUCUGGGACGGUACUGACGCUGAGACGCGAAAGCGUGGGGAGCAAACAGG